AGCGAACGCUGGCGGCAGGCUUAACACAUGCAAGUCGAACGGGCAUCUUCGGAUGUCAGUGGCAGACGGGUGCGUAACACGUGGGAACGUACCCUUCGGUUCGGAAUAACUCAGGGAAACUUGAGCUAAUACCGGAUACGCCCUUUUGGGGAAAGGUUUACUGCCGAAGGAUCGGCCCGCGUCUGAUUAGCUUGUUGGUGGGGUAACGGCCUACCAAGGCGACGAUCAGUAGCUGGUCUGAGAGGAUGAUCAGCCACACUGGGACUGAGACACGGCCCAGACUCCUACGGGAGGCAGCAGUGGGGAAUAUUGGACAAUGGGCGCAAGCCUGAUCCAGCCAGGCCGCGGGAGUGAUGAAGGCGUUAGGGUUGUAAAGCUCUUUUGUCCGGGACGAUAAUGACGGUACCGGAAGAAUAAGCCCCGGCGAACUUCGU
RNAcentral lists this ribosomal RNA (434 nucleotides) under uncultured bacterium. RNAcentral describes it as "partial 16S ribosomal RNA". It matches the Rfam family "Bacterial small subunit ribosomal RNA", at positions 29 to 506 of the family's 1533-position model. The record is from RNAcentral.